RNAcentral lists this ribosomal RNA (233 nucleotides) under uncultured bacterium. Its description in RNAcentral is "partial 16S ribosomal RNA". It matches the Rfam family "Bacterial small subunit ribosomal RNA", at positions 103 to 334 of the family's 1533-position model. The record is from RNAcentral.
CGGGUGAGUAACGCGUGAGUAACCUGCCCUGGAGUGAGGGACAACAGUUGGAAACGACUGCUAAUACCGCAUAAGCCCACGGCUCGGCAUCGAGCAGAGGGAAAAGGAGUGAUCCGCUUUGAGAUGGCCUCGCGUCCGAUUAGCUGGUUGGUGAGGUAACGGCCCACCAAGGCGACGAUCGGUAGCCGGACUGAGAGGUUGAACGGCCACAUUGGGACUGAGACACGGCCCAG